RNAcentral lists this ribosomal RNA (253 nucleotides) under uncultured bacterium. RNAcentral describes it as "partial 16S ribosomal RNA". It matches the Rfam family "Bacterial small subunit ribosomal RNA", at positions 524 to 776 of the family's 1533-position model. The record is from RNAcentral.
UACAGAGGUCUCAAGCGUUGUUCGGAUUCAUUGGGCGUAAAGGGUGCGUAGGUGGCGCUGUAAGUCGGGUGUGAAAUUUCGGAGCUUAACUCCGAAACUGCAUUCGAUACUGCGGUGCUUGAGGACUGGAGAGGAGACUGGAAUCCAUGGUGUAGCAGUGAAAUGCGUAGAGAUCAUGAGGAAGACCAGUGGCGAAGGCGGGUCUCUGGACAGUUCCUGACACUGAGGCACGAAGGCCAGGGGAGCAAAAGGG